Molecule: ribosomal RNA, 443 nt
Filed under: uncultured Fusobacterium sp.
Lineage: Bacteria; Fusobacteriati; Fusobacteriota; Fusobacteriia; Fusobacteriales; Fusobacteriaceae
Description: bacterial SSU rRNA
Rfam family: Bacterial small subunit ribosomal RNA
Source: RNAcentral
CCUACGGGUGGCAGCAGUGGGGAAUAUUGGACAAUGGACCGAGAGUCUGAUCCAGCAAUUCUGUGUGCACGAUGAAGUUUUUCGGAAUGUAAAGUGCUUUCAGUUGGGAAGAAAAAAAUGACGGUACCAACAGAAGAAGUGACGGCUAAAUACGUGCCAGCAGCCGCGGUAAUACGUAUGUCACGAGCGUUAUCCGGAUUUAUUGGGCGUAAAGCGCGUCUAGGUGGUUAUGUAAGUCUGAUGUGAAAAUGCAGGGCUCAACUCUGUAUUGCGUUGGAAACUGAAUAACUAGAGUACUGGAGAGGUAAGCGGAACUACAAGUGUAGAGGUGAAAUUCGUAGAUAUUUGUAGGAAUGCCGAUGGGGAAGCCAGCUUACUGGACAGAUACUGACGCUAAAGCGCGAAAGCGUGGGUAGCAAACAGGAUUAGAUACCCUGGUAGUC